RNAcentral lists this ribosomal RNA (774 nucleotides) under uncultured Neocallimastigales. RNAcentral's name for it is "partial large subunit ribosomal RNA". It matches the Rfam family "Eukaryotic large subunit ribosomal RNA", at positions 24 to 618 of the family's 3401-position model. The record is from RNAcentral. Lineage: Eukaryota; Fungi; Neocallimastigomycota; Neocallimastigomycetes; Neocallimastigales.
UAUCUCUGUAGAGUCUGCAUACCAAUAAGCGGAGGAAAAGAAACUAACUAGGAUUCCCUCAGUAACGGCGAGUGAAGCGGGAAGAGCUCAAAUUUGAAAUCUUCAAGGUUUUACCUUGACGAAUUGUAGUUUAAAGAAGUGUUUUCUGUUGGUGUUUUGGUAAAAGUUCUUUGGAAUAGGACAUCAUAGAGGGUGAGAAUCCCGUAUUUGACCAUUAUUUCCAGCUUUGUGAUACACUUUCAAAGAGUCGGAUUGUUUGGGAAUGCAGUCCAAAAUGGGUGGUAAAUUUCAUCUAAAGCUAAAUAUUGGCGAGAGACCGAUAGCGAACAAGUACCGUGAGGGAAAGAUGAAAAGAACUUUGAAAAGAGAGUUAAACAGUAUGUGAAAUUGUCAAAAGGGAAGCGUUUGACACCAGUGUUGUUUUCUACGAAAAUCAAUUUAUGAUGGCUUGAUGCUAAGCUUUAAGACUUUAUCCGCUUGUUGUUUAGUUUUCUUGUCUUUGUGAAUGCACUUUUCGUGGAACAAGUCAACAUCAAUUUCUUUUGCUGUAAAAGGGUAAGAGGAAGAUGGCUUCGGCUUCGGCUCAAGUGUUUAUAGCCUUUUAUCUCUGCAAUCGGAGAGAUUGAGGUCUGCAGCGCAGACUCUUCGGGGUUAGAUACGUCGGUGCUAAGCUAUAGCUUUUCAUAGACAACUUGUUGACUAUGUUUAGUCAUGUGGCUUACCCGCUGGCGCUAUUUUACCUACGCUUAGGAUGUUGAGUCAUCACACAUCUCU